This 253-nucleotide ribosomal RNA is filed under the name uncultured bacterium. RNAcentral's name for it is "partial 16S ribosomal RNA". It matches the Rfam family "Bacterial small subunit ribosomal RNA", at positions 524 to 776 of the family's 1533-position model. The record is from RNAcentral.
UACGAAGGGGGCUAGCGUUGUUCGGAAUUACUGGGCGUAAAGAGCUCGUAGGUGGUUUGUCGCGUUGUUCGUGAAAACCGGGGGCUUAACCCUCGGCGUGCGGGCGAUACGGGCAGACUUGAGUACUGCAGGGGAGACUGGAAUUCCUGGUGUAGCGGUGGAAUGCGCAGAUAUCAGGAGGAACACCGGUGGCGAAGGCGGGUCUCUGGGCAGUAACUGACGCUGAGGAGCGAAAGCGUGGGGAGCGAACAGG